CUCCCAUAGACCUCCAGAGGAAACAAUGGCGGACGUUUUUUCAGGCUACUUCCGCGUUAUGGAGAGCUCAACAGUUCUUAACAGUGACAUUCGCGGAGUUUGCCUCAUUCACUUCCAUUGGUGUCUGCCUAACUUUGUCAGCGAUGCUGAAAGUGACGUGACAAGACAUUGUCUUCAAUUAAGUGGUCCUUCAGUGCCACUGCUUUGGUUGACACCAUAAGGGAUUCGGUCGUCCUUGCCCGGACCAACUGCUCCACUUUACUGAUGAUAUUGAAG
Long non-coding RNA from Sardina pilchardus (European sardine), 276 nucleotides. RefSeq lists it as uncharacterized. The record is from RefSeq and is a predicted model, not a curated record. The transcript is spliced from 3 exons. Lineage: Eukaryota; Metazoa; Chordata; Actinopteri; Clupeiformes; Clupeidae.